UCCCUGGCAGUCCAGUGGGUAAGACUCUGCACUUCAAAAGCAGGAGGUGCAGGUUUGAUCCCUGGUCUGGGAA
Bos taurus (domestic cattle) is the source of this 73-nucleotide non-coding RNA. The record is from Rfam. NCBI's taxonomy places the organism in Eukaryota, Metazoa, Chordata, Mammalia, Artiodactyla, Bovidae.